Molecule: ribosomal RNA, 448 nt
Filed under: uncultured bacterium
Lineage: Bacteria
Description: bacterial SSU rRNA
Rfam family: Bacterial small subunit ribosomal RNA
Source: RNAcentral
UCCAGACUCCUACGGGAGGCAGCAGUGGGGAAUAUUGCACAAUGGGGGAAACCCUGAUGCAGCAACGCCGCGUGAGUGAAGAAGUAUUUCGGUAUGUAAAGCUCUAUCAGCAGGGAAGAAGAUGACGGUACCUGAAUAAGAAGCCCCGGCUAACUACGUGCCAGCAGCCGCGGUAAUACGUAGGGGGCAAGCGUUAUCCGGAUUUACUGGGUGUAAAGGGAGCGCAGGCGGUACGGCAAGUCUGAUGUGAAAGCCCGGGGCUCAACCCCGGUACUGCAUUGGAAACUGUCGGACUAGAGUGUCGGAGGGGUAAGUGGAAUUCCUAGUGUAGCGGUGAAAUGCGUAGAUAUUAGGAGGAACACCAGUGGCGAAGGCGGCUUACUGGACGAUUACUGACGCUGAGGCUCGAAAGCGUGGGGAGCAAACAGGAUUAGAUACCCUCGUACUC